RNAcentral lists this ribosomal RNA (256 nucleotides) under uncultured bacterium. Its description in RNAcentral is "partial 16S ribosomal RNA". It matches the Rfam family "Bacterial small subunit ribosomal RNA", at positions 524 to 776 of the family's 1533-position model. The record is from RNAcentral.
GACGUAGGUGGCGAACGUUAUCCGGAAUCAUUGGGCGUAAAGGGUGCGUAGAUGGCAUGAUAAGUUACUAGUGGGAAAUCGAGGCUCAACCUCGUGGAAGCUAGUAAUACUGUUUUGCUUGAGUACAGAAGAGGUUAACGGAACUCCAUGUGGAGCGGUAAAAUGCGUAGAUAUAUGGAAGAACACCAAUAACGGCGAAGGCAGUUAACUAUUCUGUUACUGACAUUGAGGCACGAAAGCGUGGGGAGCAAAACGG